RNAcentral lists this ribosomal RNA (501 nucleotides) under uncultured bacterium. RNAcentral describes it as "partial 16S ribosomal RNA". It matches the Rfam family "Bacterial small subunit ribosomal RNA", at positions 29 to 523 of the family's 1533-position model. The record is from RNAcentral.
AUUGAACGCUGGCGGCAUGCCUUACACAUGCAAGUCGAACGGCAGCACGGGUGCUUGCACCUGGUGGCGAGUGGCGAACGGGUGAGUAAUACAUCGGAACGUACCUUAUCGUGGGGGAUAACGCAGCGAAAGCUGUGCUAAUACCGCAUACGCCCUGAGGGGGAAAGCGGGGGAUCGCAAGACCUCGCGCGAUUAGAGCGGCCGAUGCCUGAUUAGCUAGGUGGUGGGGUAAAAGCCCACCAAGGCGACGAUCAGUAGCUGGUCUGAGAGGACGACCAGCCACACUGGGACUGAGACACGGCCCAGACUCCUACGGGAGGCAGCAGUGGGGAAUUUUGGACAAUGGGGGCAACCCUGAUCCAGCAAUGCCGCGUGAGUGAAGAAGGCCUUCGGGUUGUAAAGCUCUUUUGUCAGGGAAGAAACACCGGCUCUAACACAGUCCGGGAAUGACGGUACCUGAAGAAUAAGCACCGGCUAACUACGUGCCAGCCGCCGCCGUAA